This 85-nucleotide transfer RNA is filed under the name Methylobacillus glycogenes. RNAcentral's name for it is "tRNA-Leu". It matches the Rfam family "tRNA". From Rfam's summary of the family: Transfer RNA (tRNA) molecules are approximately 80 nucleotides in length. Their secondary structure includes four short double-helical elements and three loops (D, anti-codon, and T loops). The record is from RNAcentral. RNAcentral also lists the same sequence under 970 other names. Lineage: Bacteria; Pseudomonadati; Pseudomonadota; Betaproteobacteria; Nitrosomonadales; Methylophilaceae.
GGGGGCGUGGCGAAAUUGGUAGACGCACUGGAUUUAGGUUCCAGCGCCGCAAGGUGUAAGAGUUCGAGUCUCUUCGCCCCCACCA